CUUUUGGUGGACAUGAGAAUUGGGAUGACAACAAACAGUGGGUUCGUAGAUAUUCAAUUUUUGCUAAAUUAUAAAGCUGCGAUGAGUAGCUUCAAUGGGUGACUGCUAGAAAGAGAAAUGAAGAAAUUAUAUGCAAAGAGUUGAAGUGGUGGUUAUUUAUUCACCAUACAUAAAAGUGCUUGACACUAUAGAUGUUGUGGAAUUCU
Long non-coding RNA from Syngnathus acus (greater pipefish), 206 nucleotides. RefSeq lists it as uncharacterized. The record is from RefSeq and is a predicted model, not a curated record. The transcript has 3 exons. Lineage: Eukaryota; Metazoa; Chordata; Actinopteri; Syngnathiformes; Syngnathidae.